This 406-nucleotide ribosomal RNA is filed under the name uncultured bacterium. RNAcentral describes it as "bacterial SSU rRNA". It matches the Rfam family "Bacterial small subunit ribosomal RNA", at positions 355 to 776 of the family's 1533-position model. The record is from RNAcentral.
UGGGGAAUAUUGCACAAUGGGCGAAAGCCUGAUGCAGCAACGCCGCGUGAAGGAUGAAGGUCUUCGGAUUGUAAACUUCUAUCAACAGGGAAGAACAAAUGACGGUACCUGUAUAAGAAGCUCCGGCUAACUACGUGCCAGCAGCCGCGGUAAUACGUAGGGAGCAAGCGUUAUCCGGAUUUACUGGGUGUAAAGGGUGCGUAGGCGGCUUUAUAAGUCAAAAGUGAAAUUUCGGGGCUCAACCCCGGAGCUGCUUUUGAAACUGUAGAGCUAGAGUGUGGGAGAGGAAAGUGGAACUUUGAGUGUAGCGGUGAAAUGCGUAGAGAUUCAAAGGAACACCAGUAGCGAAGGCGGCUUUCUGGACCAUUACUGACGCUGAGGCACGAAAGCGUGGGGAGCAAACAGG